UACGGGGGGGGCAAGCGUUGUUCGGAAUUACUGGGCGUAAAGGGCUCGUAGGCGGCCAACUAAGUCGGAUGUGAAAUCCCCAGGCUCAACCUGGGAACUGCAUCCGAUACUGGAUGGCUUGAGUUCGGGAGAGGGAUGCGGAAUUCCAGGUGUAGCGGUGAAAUGCGUAGAUAUCUGGAGGAACACCGGUGGCGAAGGCGGCAUCCUGGACCGACACUGACGCUGAGGAGCGAAAGCCAGGGGAGCAAACGGG
This 253-nucleotide ribosomal RNA is filed under the name uncultured bacterium. RNAcentral describes it as "partial 16S ribosomal RNA". It matches the Rfam family "Bacterial small subunit ribosomal RNA", at positions 524 to 776 of the family's 1533-position model. The record is from RNAcentral.